UCCCUGGUGGUCCAGUAGUUAGCACUUUGCACUCUCAGAGCGGAGGGCCUGGGUUCAAUCCCUAGUUGGGGAA
RNAcentral lists this transfer RNA (73 nucleotides) under Bos taurus (domestic cattle). It matches the Rfam family "tRNA". Rfam says of the family: Transfer RNA (tRNA) molecules are approximately 80 nucleotides in length. Their secondary structure includes four short double-helical elements and three loops (D, anti-codon, and T loops). RNAcentral also lists the same sequence under 3 other names. The record is from Rfam by way of RNAcentral. Lineage: Eukaryota; Metazoa; Chordata; Mammalia; Artiodactyla; Bovidae.